UUAAGAAGAGGUUUAAUUACAGCUACCUUGAAGGACUGUGGUACAUGUCCUGUCAACAAAGACAGAUUCAUAAUAUCUAAUAAGGAUGUGCUAACUAAAGGAAAAACUGCCUUAAACAGCUUGGUCGGAAUCGGAUCCAAGAGACAAGUAAAAGAUUUAGACUUUGAAAAUAAAGAAGUCAGUUGAUCAAGGUUGAUGGAAGAGAAGGCAUCUAAACAGGCAUCAGGGCCCACCUCUGCAAUCAAGGUUCCUACAUCGGAGGACAGGUCGGCACUGGUUGAAGAAUACACACUCUGAAGCGGCACAAUCAAAAAAUGAUGCAACGUCAGAAAAGGCCUGAUGUGAACCUGUGAAAAAAACACUAUGCAAAGUCACCAACUCAAGAGUCAUUGGAUACAUUGAAGAGGACGGU
Gasterosteus aculeatus aculeatus (three-spined stickleback) is the source of this 412-nucleotide long non-coding RNA. Lineage: Eukaryota; Metazoa; Chordata; Actinopteri; Perciformes; Gasterosteidae. The record is from Ensembl.